AUUCUCAACUGUUCUUCAAUUCUUCAUUGCUCAUUAGCAGUCCCAAGCUUCGCAGCGUAUUCUCUUUGGAGAAGCGACAAACCAUUGCCUAAUAAUCAAUCAAUCAAUCAAUCAAAUUCAAUUAUGAAUGACUACGAAGGUGGAAGGUACGAUGGCAAUGGUGCUGACUUCGAUAACGAUAACUACGGUUCCGCCGACGGUGGCGGUUUCUCCCCUCAGCCUCGCACUAACAGCCACAGCCAUGGCGGUGCCGACGAUCACAUAAAUUCCAGAUCUCGGCAUGGCUCACGAGACAACAACGAAAGAGAUUAUUCAAAAAGUAGGGAAAAGGAUAGAGAGAAAGGGCGUGAUAAGGAUAGGGAUAGAGAUAGGGACAGGGAUAGGGAUCGUGAGAGGGACAAAGAAAGGAGGAGAAGCAAGGACAGGGACAGGGUUAGCGAAAGGGACCGAGACAAGGAUCAUGACCGUUACCAUAGAGAUCGUGAUCGCCACAGAGAUCGUAGUGAGAGGAGGGAACGGGGUAGAGAUAGAGAUGAUGAUGAUUAUCACCGAAGCCGAGACUAUGAACGGGACAGGCAGAGAGAUUAUGAUAGGGACAGGGAAGACAGGCACCGGCAUCGGUCACGAUCUCCUUCAAAGGGUAGAUCUGAACGCAGAUCCAAAUCACGUUCACGCUCCCGUUCCCGUUCUAAGAGCAAAAGGAUCAGUGGUUUUGAUAUGGCUCCUCCACCAUCUGCAAUGUUGGCUGGUGCAGCUGCAGCUGCUGCUGCUGCAGGUCAGAUGCCUGGCACAAAUCCUGCCAUUUCUGGAAUAUUCCCUAACAUGUUUCCUUUAGGGGCUGGUCAGCAGUUUGGUGCUCUUCCAGUUAUGCCAGUUCAGGCAAUGACUCAGCAGGCCACUAGGCAUGCUCGGCGGGUAUAUGUUGGAGGACUUUCCCCUACAGCUAAUGAACAAUCCGUAGCAACUUUUUUCAGCCAUGUUAUGGCUGCAAUUGGAGGAAACACUGCUGGCCCAGGGGAUGCUGUUGUGAAUGUCUAUAUAAACCAUGAAAAGAAAUUUGCGUUUGUGGAGAUGAGGUCUGUUGAGGAGGCUAGUAAUGCAAUGGCUUUAGAUGGGAUCAUUUUUGAGGGAGCUCCUGUCAAGGUGAGAAGACCUAGUGAUUAUAACCCAUCCCUUGCUGCAACACUUGGUCCAAGCCAGCCCAAUCCCAAUCUUAACCUGGCUGCAGUUGGCUUAAGUCCAAACUCUGCUGGUGGGCUUGAGGGUCCAGACCGCAUCUUUGUGGGUGGACUUCCCUAUUAUUUUACUGAAGCUCAAGUCAGAGAGUUGUUGGAGUCCUUUGGUCCCCUUCAAGGUUUUGAUCUAGUAAAAGAUAGAGAAACUGGGAAUUCGAAGGGCUAUGCAUUCUGUGUGUACCAAGACAUUGCAGUUACAGACAUAGCUUGUGCUGCUCUG
Molecule: unclassified non-coding RNA, 1455 nt
Filed under: Hevea brasiliensis (rubber tree)
Lineage: Eukaryota; Viridiplantae; Streptophyta; Magnoliopsida; Malpighiales; Euphorbiaceae
Source: RNAcentral